This 171-nucleotide non-coding RNA is filed under the name human gut metagenome. The record is from RNAcentral.
AUUCCCUCGGGGCCGGACGGAGAAUAGAGAACCGGGUGGAAAUCCCGGACGGUACCGCCACUGUGAACGCGGAGGCCGCGCACAUGACGAAAGUCAGUCAUUGGGGAAUUCCCUGAGAAGGCGUGCGUAGGCUUAGGAUGCGUGAGUCAGGAGAACUGCUGGAUGCUAUAG